RNAcentral lists this long non-coding RNA (1370 nucleotides) under Spirodela polyrhiza (greater duckweed). RNAcentral describes it as "long non-coding RNA (SPOL_LNC001695)". Lineage: Eukaryota; Viridiplantae; Streptophyta; Magnoliopsida; Alismatales; Araceae. The record is from RNAcentral.
GUGAAUAUGUCGGAUCAUAGCUCUGAGCUGCUGGUUAUGCAAGAUCAUAGAAAUCCAGUCACUGGAGAGCCUUGGUAUUCCUGAACAACGAUAAGAUAUACAGAUAUAUAUAAAUAUAUAUAGCAUAAUUUAAGCUAUGGUGUGACCUAAAAGUUUCCUGACUGAUUUCCAUCGAGUCUACCCAUGAUGAGAACUAAAAUUCAUACCAUGAUCCAUAUAGUGAAGACUCACAAUGUAUGUUUCGGGCUUGCAAAAAUAUCCCGACUGGUGCUCACAGAAUGAGAGCCAUUAUUACUUCAGACGUAGACUGCCAACUCCAGAAAUGAAGACAUUUGGAUUGGAAAAGACCAGCCCAUAUUUGCUUAUGACCUUGUAGAACUAACAGGUUGUGAGACCACAUUUCCUGACGAGCGCCAGGGAGUGGAUUCAAAUUUCAUGCGGCAGCCAUGACAGAGGAAGGACCUCCCAGAUUAAGCAGGUAUGCCCGGUGAAACAGUGCAUGACGAACCGUCUGCUCCAAGAAAUGGAAGAGUAUGAGAUCAGAACAUGUUUCUCAAUUCCAGAAGCAAUUCAAAGAAGCGGGGGUUGAUUUCUGUGAGGAUUCUUGGCCGGCAUCAGGUCCUGGGGAGUCGGGAGAGAUAUUUUGGAGGCCCCGUCAGAAACUGCGAAGAUGAAAGACUGGAGCUGGGGGAAGGAAAUCUACAGCGGGAUCUUCUCAAGAGAAGCUGGCAGAAAUGACGCAUGAUUGAAAGUCAACCCACCGAAAUCGAGAUUUUUCUUCCAGAGAGGGAAAAAAAAGUUGCUGCUGCGGUGGAAAAAAGUACGGGAUUCAUCUGCCCCGUCGGGUAUGUUGAGGCUAGAGACGGUAGAUAAGUUGCUAGCUUCUCCUGUGAGGAACCAGCUGGAGCCUGGAUGAUCGCCGAAAUUCAAUGCAAACUGGCGGAGCCCAGCUCGCGUCGAAGAAGAGACGAAUGUAUGGCUCGUUGUUCUCCCUGAAAUCAUCUCGGAGGUGCAGCGGGAGCGGAAUCACAGGAGAUUCAGAGAGGAAUUCAGACGAGGAUGGGGUCGAUUCAACACUGGGAAUACAUAAAUGAAGCCGUAUUUUUCGAAUGGGAUUUCAUAUAUUUCACUGUAUGCCGGAGGCUGUACAGAGAAAGAACAGAAAGAGGACAGCGCUGGCCCUGUAAUCGAAUCAAGAGAAACGAUGAAUAGCCGAAAUGGUUCGCACUCCGCCCUUUCGAUCCUCGCAGAAAGGGGAGACUUCAAACUCUGAGGAUGAACCAAGAGAUCGCGAUCGAUGUGAUCGGCUCGAAUGCGAAUUCCGACAAAGGCGAUGCAUUCUAAAGGGAAAAUCAGGGCGAGAAGAGAAG